GCAGAGUAGACUGUCAGGCGUUAAGUGUUCGGCAAACGGGGAGUUGUUGUCGGGACGAAAAGCUCUUGAAAAAAAGAGCUUGCGGUUUGAUGGUCGCAUCCCGCUG
This 106-nucleotide non-coding RNA is filed under the name uncultured Negativibacillus sp. RNAcentral describes it as "THF riboswitch". It matches the Rfam family "THF (Tetrahydrofolate) riboswitch aptamer". Rfam says of the family: THF riboswitch presents a pseudoknot that joins P1-P2 and the loop of P3 and two THF binding. The record is from RNAcentral. Lineage: Bacteria; Bacillati; Bacillota.